AACAAUACAUGUAUGAGAGGGAACAAGGACACAGCAAACCAACAGACAUUUAAGCAUUCAGAGAGAAGACACUGGUGUGGUAGGGAGCUGGGAGGGGAAUUUUGAGGAGAGGAACUGGCUGUGUUUGGGCACUUACCCACUGUGCAGACUUUCCUGAAGUCAGGGCAGCACUCCAUGUAGUCGUGACACUUAAAAUCACACUGGCAGUCAUGCUCUCUAGAAUACCCUGCCCCACAUCUCCCUGCACAGCUUGAUACAUCUAAAAUUACACAACACUGGUGUAAGCAUUGCCAAACCACAACGGUCCUUAAGGAAAUGAUAAAUGGAAAAGGAGUAAAUUUUCUCUCUCUUUUUUUUUUACAGAAUGUGGUUUCUUCACUCAGUACUGCAGAAGCUGAGGGCCUGGUGUGACCCCUCCUGAAGGUGUGGGGAGCAGAGGUUUGCUCUGAGCCAGCCUGAGGACCAGCAGCAGCACGUGUUCAGUGUAUAGGCUAAUUCUACUGAAUCACAGCUGCAUGAAAACAAGAGAUUUAACUAUAGGAAGAAAAAAAGUCAAGCACGACUUGAUUAACGUGAAGAAUGACCCAGGAUAAGAAGAAUGAAGAAAAUUAACACGAGAAAGACCUCCCCCUGAGCACUGCAGGGAUGGCUCUCUGUACCUUGGCAGGUUCUGCCGUUGGGCAUGAGGCGGUAUCCUGCAGGACAGACACACUGGAAGCUGCCCAGGCUGUUCCUGCACUCGUGCUGACACG
Molecule: long non-coding RNA, 752 nt
Organism: Prinia subflava (tawny-flanked prinia)
Lineage: Eukaryota; Metazoa; Chordata; Aves; Passeriformes; Cisticolidae
Exons: 3
Source: RefSeq, a predicted model, not a curated record